RNAcentral lists this ribosomal RNA (866 nucleotides) under Moraxella catarrhalis. Its description in RNAcentral is "partial 23S ribosomal RNA". It matches the Rfam family "Bacterial large subunit ribosomal RNA", at positions 1326 to 2196 of the family's 2925-position model. Lineage: Bacteria; Pseudomonadati; Pseudomonadota; Gammaproteobacteria; Moraxellales; Moraxellaceae. The record is from RNAcentral.
AAUUGUAUCCGCCGUAAAUCUAAGGUUUCCUACGCGAUGGUCGUCAUCGUAGGGUUAGUCGGGUCCUAAGCCGAGUCCGAAAGGGGUAGGUGAUGGCAAAUUGGUUAAUAUUCCAAUACCGACUAUGGAGCGUGAUGGGGGGACGCAUAGGGUUAAGCGAGCUAGCUGAUGGAAGUGCUAGUCUAAGGGCGUAGAUUGGAGGGAAGGCAAAUCCACCUCUGUAUUUGAAACCCAAACAGGCUCUUUGAGUCCUUUUAGGACAAAGGGAGAAUCGCUGAUACCGUCGUGCCAAGAAAAGCCUCUAAGUAUAUCCAUAGUCGUCCGUACCGCAAACCGACACAGGUAGAUGAGAUGAGUAUUCUAAGGCGCGUGAAAGAACUCUGGUUAAGGAACUCUGCAAACUAGCACCGUAAGUUCGCGAUAAGGUGUGCCGCAGCAAUGCGGUCUCAGCAAAGAGUCCCUCCCGACUGUUUACCAAAAACACAGCACUUUGCCAACUCGUAAGAGGAAGUAUAAGGUGUGACGCCUGCCCGGUGCUCGAAGGUUAAGAGGAUGCGUCAGUCGCAAGAUGAAGCGUUGAAUUGAAGCCCGAGUAAACGGCGGCCGUAACUAUAACGGUCCUAAGGUAGCGAAAUUCCUUGUCGGUUAAAUACCGACCUGCAUGAAUGGCGUAACGAGAUGGGAGCUGUCUCAACCAGAGAUUCAGUGAAAUUGUAGUGGAGGUGAAAAUUCCUCCUACCCGCGGCAAGACGGAAAGACCCCGUGGACCUUUACUACAACUUAGCACUGCUAAUGGGAAUAUCAUGUGCAGGAUAGGUGGGAGGCUUUGAAGUAAGGGCUUUGGCUCUUAUGGAGCCAUCCUUGAG